RNAcentral lists this ribosomal RNA (273 nucleotides) under uncultured bacterium. RNAcentral's name for it is "partial 16S ribosomal RNA". It matches the Rfam family "Bacterial small subunit ribosomal RNA", at positions 524 to 796 of the family's 1533-position model. The record is from RNAcentral.
UACGUAGGGUGCGAGCGUUAAUCGGAAUUACUGGGCGUAAAGCGUGCGCAGGCGGUUUGCUAAGACCGAUGUGAAAUCCCCGGGCUCAACCUGGGAACUGCAUUGGUGACUGGCAGGCUAGAGUAUGGCAGAGGGGGGUAGAAUUCCACGUGUAGCAGUGAAAUGCGUAGAGAUGUGGAGGAAUACCGAUGGCGAAGGCAGCCCCAUGGGCCAAUACGGACGCGCAUGCAAGAAAGCGGGGGGAGCACACAGGCUGCGAUAACCCCGUAGUCC